GGGUUGUGAGGUUAAGCGACUAAGCGUACACGGUGGAUGCCCUGGCAGUCAGAGGCGAUGAAGGACGUGCUAAUCUGCGAAAAGCGUCGGUAAGGUGAUAUGAACCGUUAUAACCGGCGAUGUCCGAAUGGGGAAACCCAGUGCAAUUCGUUGCACUAUCGUUAACUGAAUACAUAGGUUAACGAGGCGAACCGGGGGAACUGAAACAUCUAAGUACCCCGAGGAAAAGAAAUCAACCGAGAUUCCCCCAGUAGCGGCGAGCGAACGGGGAGCAGCCCAGAGUCUGAAUCAGCUUGUGUGUUAGUGGAACGGUCUGGAAAGUCCGACGGUACAGGGUGAUAGUCCCGUACACCAAAAUGCACAGGUUGUGAACUCGAAGAGUAGGGCGGGACACGUGGUAUCCUGUCUGAAUAUGGGGGGACCAUCCUCCAAGGCUAAAUACUCCUGACUGACCGAUAGUGAACCAGUACCGUGAGGGAAAGGCGAAAAGAACCCCGGCGAGGGGAGUGAAAAAGAACCUGAAACCGUGUACGUACAAGCAGUGGGAGCACCUUCGGGUGUGACUGCGUACCUUUUGUAUAAUGGGUCAGCGACUUAUAUUCUGUAGCAAGGUUAACCGUAUAGGGGAGCCGCAGGGAAACCGAGUCUUAACUGGGCGUUAAGUUGCAGGGUAUAGACCCGAAACCCGGUGAUCUAGCCAUGGGCAGGUUGAAGGUUGGGUAACACUAACUGGAGGACCGAACCGACUAAUGUUGAAAAAUUAGCGGAUGACUUGUGGCUGGGGGUGAAAGGCCAAUCAAACCGGGAGAUAGCUGGUUCUCCCCGAAAGCUAUUUAGGUAGCGCCUCGUGAAUUCAUCUUCGGGGGUAGAGCACUGUUUCGGCUAGGGGGUCAUCCCGACUUACCAACCCGAUGCAAACUACGAAUACCGAAGAAUGUUAUCACGGGAGACACACGGCGGGUGCUAACGUCCGUCGUGAAGAGGGAAACAACCCAGACCGCCAGCUAAGGUCCCAAAGUCAUGGUUAAGUGGGAAACGAUGUGGGAAGGCACAGACAGCCAGGAUGUUGGCUUAGAAGCAGCCAUCAUUUAAAGAAAGCGUAAUAGCUCACUGGUCGAGUCGGCCUGCGCGGAAGAUGUAACGGGGCUAAACCAUGCACCGAAGCUGCGGCAGCGACACUAUGUGUUGUUGGGUAGGGGAGCGUUCUGUAAGCCUGCGAAGGUGUGCUGUGAGGCAUGCUGGAGGUAUCAGAAGUGCGAAUGCUGACAUAAGUAACGAUAAAGCGGGUGAAAAGCCCGCUCGCCGGAAGACCAAGGGUUCCUGUCCAACGUUAAUCGGGGCAGGGUGAGUCGACCCCUAAGGCGAGGCCGAAAGGCGUAGUCGAUGGGAAACAGGUUAAUAUUCCUGUACUUGGUGUUACUGCGAAGGGGGGACGGAGAAGGCUAUGUUAGCCGGGCGACGGUUGUCCCGGUUUAAGCAUGUAGGCUGGUUGUCCAGGCAAAUCCGGAUAAUCAAGGCUGAGGUGUGAUGACGAGGCACUACGGUGCUGAAGUAACAAAUGCCCUGCUUCCAGGAAAAGCCUCUAAGCAUCAGGUAACAUCAAAUCGUACCCCAAACCGACACAGGUGGUCAGGUAGAGAAUACCAAGGCGCUUGAGAGAACUCGGGUGAAGGAACUAGGCAAAAUGGUGCCGUAACUUCGGGAGAAGGCACGCUGGUGUGUAGGUGAAGCCCCUGCGGGUGGAGCUGAGACCAGUCGAAGAUACCAGCUGGCUGCAACUGUUUAUUAAAAACACAGCACUGUGCAAACACGAAAGUGGACGUAUACGGUGUGACGCCUGCCCGGUGCCGGAAGGUUAAUUGAUGGGGUUAUCCGUAAGGAGAAGCUCUUGAUCGAAGCCCCGGUAAACGGCGGCCGUAACUAUAACGGUCCUAAGGUAGCGAAAUUCCUUGUCGGGUAAGUUCCGACCUGCACGAAUGGCGUAAUGAUGGCCAGGCUGUCUCCACCCGAGACUCAGUGAAAUUGAACUCGCUGUGAAGAUGCAGUGUACCCGCGGCAAGACGGAAAGACCCCGUGAACCUUUACUAUAGCUUGACACUGAACAUUGAGCCUUGAUGUGUAGGAUAGGUGGGAGGCUUUGAAGCGUGGACGCCAGUCUGCGUGGAGCCAACCUUGAAAUACCACCCUUUAAUGUUUGAUGUUCUAACGUUGGCCCCUGACCGGGGUUGCGGACAGUGUCUGGUGGGUAGUUUGACUGGGGCGGUCUCCUCCCAAAGCGUAACGGAGGAGCACGAAGGUUAGCUAAUCCUGGUCGGACAUCAGGAGGUUAGUGCAAUGGCAUAAGCUAGCUUGACUGCGAGCGUGACGGCGCGAGCAGGUGCGAAAGCAGGUCAUAGUGAUCCGGUGGUUCUGAAUGGAAGGGCCAUCGCUCAACGGAUAAAAGGUACUCCGGGGAUAACAGGCUGAUACCGCCCAAGAGUUCAUAUCGACGGCGGUGUUUGGCACCUCGAUGUCGGCUCAUCACAUCCUGGGGCUGAAGUAGGUCCCAAGGGUAUGGCUGUUCGCCAUUUAAAGUGGUACGCGAGCUGGGUUUAGAACGUCGUGAGACAGUUCGGUCCCUAUCUGCCGUGGGCGCUGGAGAAUUGAGGGGGGCUGCUCCUAGUACGAGAGGACCGGAGUGGACGCAUCACUGGUGUUCGGGUUGUCAUGCCAAUGGCACUGCCCGGUAGCUAAAUGCGGAAGAGAUAAGUGCUGAAAGCAUCUAAGCACGAAACUUGCCCCGAGAUGAGUUCUCCCUGAGACUUUAAGUCUCCUGAAGGAACGUU
Molecule: ribosomal RNA, 2825 nt
Filed under: Klebsiella pneumoniae
Lineage: Bacteria; Pseudomonadati; Pseudomonadota; Gammaproteobacteria; Enterobacterales; Enterobacteriaceae
Description: partial 23S ribosomal RNA
Rfam family: Bacterial large subunit ribosomal RNA
Source: RNAcentral